RNAcentral lists this RNase P RNA (371 nucleotides) under Brumimicrobium oceani. Its description in RNAcentral is "Bacterial RNase P class A". It matches the Rfam family "Bacterial RNase P class A". From Rfam's summary of the family: Ribonuclease P (RNase P) is a ubiquitous endoribonuclease, found in archaea, bacteria and eukarya as well as chloroplasts and mitochondria. Its best characterised activity is the generation of mature 5'-ends of tRNAs by cleaving the 5'-leader elements of precursor-tRNAs. Lineage: Bacteria; Pseudomonadati; Bacteroidota; Flavobacteriia; Flavobacteriales; Crocinitomicaceae. The record is from Rfam by way of RNAcentral.
AAAGGCAGAUCGUUUGUCGCUGUUCCGCUUGCGGAAGAGAGGAAAGUCUGGGCAGUAUAGAGCACCGUACUUCUUAACUGGAAGGGUUCGUCGGUUGACGAAUACAGAUAGUGCCACAGAAAUAAGUAGCCUAGGAGUUAAAUCCUAGGUCAUAGUGAAAAGGCGAGGUAAGAGCUCACCGCAUCAAUGGUGACAUUGUUGGCUAGGUAAACCUUACGGACUGAAAGACCAUGUAAACCAAGGCUAAAGGGCUGCUCGCUCAACUUGGAGGGUAGGUCGAUGGAUCCCGAGGGUGACUUCGGGGCUAGAUAAAUGACAAACAGCCAUUUUCGGAUGGUGUACAGGACCCGGCUUAUGGUUUGCCUUUUUGU